RNAcentral lists this ribosomal RNA (229 nucleotides) under uncultured bacterium. RNAcentral's name for it is "partial 16S ribosomal RNA". It matches the Rfam family "Bacterial small subunit ribosomal RNA", at positions 568 to 796 of the family's 1533-position model. The record is from RNAcentral.
UGCGUAGGCGGGGUGGUAAGUCAGUGGUGAAAUCCUGCAGCUUAACUGUAGAAUUGCCAUUGAUACUGCCAUUCUUGAGUACGCUGGAUGUGGGCGGAAUGUGCCGUGUAGCGGUGAAAUGCUUAGAUAUGGCACAGAACACCGAUAGCGAAGGCAGCUCACAACGGCGAAACUGACGCUGAGGCACGAAAGCGUGGGGAUCGAACAGGAUUAGAUACCCUGGUAGUCC